UUGAGGCGCCCAAAAUGAUCGGGGCUCAAAUCCACCACCGAGACCUAGCGGCAUCCGUCAAAGGAUGAUCCCGUAGGUUGGCGUUCUGUUCGGGUGGAAGCACGGAAGAGAUUUCGUGUGGACCGUUCAGUAACGAAAAUCCUGGUCAUAGUAGCAGCGUGAGUCGGGUGAGACCCCCGACGGCCGAACGAGUAAGGGUUCCUCAGCACUGCUGAUCAGCUGAGGGUUAGCCGGUCCUAAGUCAGCCCGUAAGUCGAAGCUGACAACAGGGAAAUAGGUUAAUAUUCCUAUGCCAGUGUGCACUCAAAGCCAACGCUUUGGGGCCGCCUGAGCCGGGCCUUCGCCCGGUCGAACNAAUAGGUUAAUAUUCCUAUGCCAGUGUGCACUCAAAGCCAACGCUUUGGGGCCGCCUGAGCCGGGCCUUCGCCCGGUCGAACAGUCGAAAAUCGUGGAAGCCGUAAUGGCACGAAGCGAUCGAAUGGCUGGAUAGCGCAAGUCAGGUCAACCGAGAGCCCGUGAAAAGGUGAGCACACUGUCCGUACCGAGAUCCGACACAGGUACUCGUGGCGGCGAAAGCCAAGGUCUGUCGGGAGCAACCGACGUUAGGGAAUUCG
This 614-nucleotide non-coding RNA is filed under the name Natrinema limicola JCM 13563. Its description in RNAcentral is "Haloterrigena limicola JCM 13563 Archaeal large subunit ribosomal RNA". It matches the Rfam family "Archaeal large subunit ribosomal RNA", at positions 1242 to 1813 of the family's 2987-position model. The record is from Rfam by way of RNAcentral. Lineage: Archaea; Methanobacteriati; Methanobacteriota; Halobacteria; Halobacteriales; Natrialbaceae.